AGCGAACGCUGGCGGCAGGCCUAACACAUGCAAGUCGAACGGGCUCUUCGGAGCUAGUGGCGGACGGGUGAGUAACACGUGGGAACGUGCCUUUAGGUUCGGAAUAAGCCCGGGAAACUGGGUCUAAUACCGGAUGUGCCCUUCGGGGGAAAGAUUUAUCGCCUUUAGAGCGGCCCGCGUCUGAUUAGCUAGUUGGUGGUGUAAUGGACCACCAAGGCGACGAUCAGUAGCUGGUCUGAGAGGAUGAUCAGCCACAUUGGGACUGAGACACGGCCCAAACUCCUACGGGAGGCAGCAGUGGGGAAUCUUGCGCAAUGGGCGAAAGCCUGACGCAGCCAUGCCGCGUGAAUGAUGAAGGUCUUAGGAUUGUAAAAUUCUUUCACCGGGGACGAUAAUGACGGUACCCGGAGAAGAAGCCCCGGCUAACUUCGUGCCAGCCGCCGCAGUAA
Molecule: ribosomal RNA, 449 nt
Filed under: uncultured bacterium
Lineage: Bacteria
Description: partial 16S ribosomal RNA
Rfam family: Bacterial small subunit ribosomal RNA
Source: RNAcentral